GUCGGAUUAGCUAGUUGGUGAGGUAAAGGCUCAUCAAGGCGACGAUCCGUAGCUGGUCUGAGAGGAUGAUCAGCCACACUGGGACUGAGACACGGCCCAGACUCCUACGGGAGGCAGCAGUGGGGAAUUUUGAACAAUGGGGGCAACCCUGAUCCAGCCAUUCCGCGUGAGUGAAGAAGGCCUUCGGGUUGUAAAGCUCUUUCGGACGGAACGAAACGGUUAGGACUAAUACUUCUGACUAAUGACGGUACCGUAAGAAGAAGCACCGGCUAGCUACGUGCCAGCAGCCGCGGUAAUACGUAAGGUGCGAGCGUUAAUCGGAAUUACUGGGCGUAAAGCGUGCGCAGGCGGUUAUUUAAGACAGGUGUGAAAUCCCCGGGCUUAACCUGGGAAUUGCGCUUGUGACUGGAUAGCUAGAGUGCGGCAGAGGGGGUUGGAAUUCCACGUGUAGCAGUGAAAUGCGUAGAGAUGUGGAGGAACACCGAUGGCGAAGGCAGCCCCCUGG
Molecule: ribosomal RNA, 505 nt
Filed under: uncultured beta proteobacterium
Lineage: Bacteria; Pseudomonadati; Pseudomonadota; Betaproteobacteria
Description: bacterial SSU rRNA
Rfam family: Bacterial small subunit ribosomal RNA
Source: RNAcentral